Molecule: ribosomal RNA, 433 nt
Filed under: uncultured bacterium
Lineage: Bacteria
Description: bacterial SSU rRNA
Rfam family: Bacterial small subunit ribosomal RNA
Source: RNAcentral
AACGAACGCUGGCGGCAGGCCUAACACAUGCAAGUCGAGCGAGGACUUCGGUCCUAGCGGCGGACGGGUGAGUAACGCGUGGGAACGUGCCCCUUUCUACGGAAUAGCCCCGGGAAGCUGGGAGUAAUACCGUAUAAGCCCUACGGGGGAAAGAUUUAUCGGGAAGGGAUCGGCCCGCGUUGGAUUAGGUAGUUGGUGGGGUAAUGGCCUACCAAGCCGACGAUCCAUAGCUGGUUUGAGAGGAUGAUCAGCCACACUGGGACUGAGACACGGCCCAGACUCCUACGGGAGGCAGCAGUGGGGAAUCUUAGACAAUGGGCGCAAGCCUGAUCUAGCCAUGCCGCGUGAGCGAUGAAGGCCUUAGGGUUGUAAAGCUCUUUCAGGGGGGAAGAUAAUGACUGUACCCCCAGAAGAAGCCCCGGCUAACUCCGUG